UCUGUCUAGGGCUUCAGCCAUCUCUCCAUCUUCUAGGUAUUGAGCCGGUCUCGGUCCGGGUCUUGUUAAUGGCAAUCUACUCCAUGAUUUAUAACAAUCUUCUUUUUUUCUUUUCGGUUAAUUAAUCUAAACGGUACAUCAAGAAUCCAUAAUAGGAUAGGAAAAUAUUCAUUCAUUACGGGUCAUAUUCGAAAUUGCGCCGGGCGUGACUCGCCGGUCGGUAUGGACCUAGCGAAUUGAUGAUAACUCGGAGAUUAAUCGACAAUUAAUUGAUGAUUAAUUUUUAAAAAUUUUCCAUAUAUAUAUAGAUAUAAAUAUAUAAUUUGUUAAGAAUAGACAACAAAUAUGUUGGCUCAGAUGGUUUGUAACUGAUGUAAUUAUGUAAUAGUCCAAGUUAAAAGCCCCAUCAGUGCUAUUUUCAUUUUUUUUUUCUUUUUUUCCUUUAAUGAAGGACAAAAUCGUAAUUUCUAUAUUAUCUCCCUCAUUUAACCUAACCAGUCUUGUGGUUUUCAAAACCAGCUGCCUCUUUCCUCUUAUGUUAUUUCAUUCUUUCAACAAGUUUAUACUUGAUUCUAUUAGUUUUUUCUUACAAAUCCGACUAAAACAAACCCGUUUUUGACAUAAAUUGAAAUAAAAAUGAAGUUUUAUUAGAAAUCCCGAUUUUAUGGUCGAGUAGAGCCACAUCGGGACGGUGGUCCUCCGCCUCACGUAAUUUUGCCGGAUACUCGGCCGCGUAGGGCGCGUUUUUGAACAUUUACAGGAUUGGAUCGUUAGAGCCUUCUUGGUGGAGGAGCAGAAGAUUGUGAAGAAGGUCUUGAAGCUUCAGAAGUCCAAGGAGAAGACUGCGCCUAAGAGCUAGAAAUAUUCUCUGUGGAGAGUUUUGGGAACGAAUGGUCUUGUAGGGGAGAGGAAUAGACAUGAGGAUGAUUCAACAGAUUUUUUUUUAAUGGCUUUUGAGUUCAAGAUUUUACUUUGUUAAGCGUGGUAUCUCGCUAGUAGUCUUUUUAAUAUCGAGAGACAGAGUUGCAAGCACCAGAAAUGUUCAAUACUAUAUGUACUUUCCAUGUUAUUAAGAAGAAGAGCUUUCAUCUGUU
Molecule: long non-coding RNA, 1094 nt
Organism: Brassica napus (rape)
Lineage: Eukaryota; Viridiplantae; Streptophyta; Magnoliopsida; Brassicales; Brassicaceae
Exons: 2
Source: RefSeq, a predicted model, not a curated record